UUAAUUUGACUCAAGACGGGAAAACUUACCAAGUCCAGAAAUAGUAAGUAUUUCUUGAUUCUAUGGGUGGUGGUGCAUGGUUGUUCUUAGUUGGUGGAGCGAUUUGUCUGGUUAAUUCCGUUAGCAAAACAAGACCUCAGCCUGCUAACUAGCUAUGCGGAGGUAUCCCUUCGCGACCGCUUCUUUGAGGGAUUAUGGCCUUUUAGGCCGCGGAAAUUUGAAACCAUCCACUAAAUAAUAGGUUUGUUUGAUGCAAUGUUUUAGAAG
This 267-nucleotide non-coding RNA is filed under the name Solanum tuberosum (potato). RNAcentral's name for it is "rRNA SSU_rRNA_eukarya". It matches the Rfam family "Eukaryotic small subunit ribosomal RNA", at positions 1190 to 1479 of the family's 1831-position model. The record is from Rfam by way of RNAcentral. Lineage: Eukaryota; Viridiplantae; Streptophyta; Magnoliopsida; Solanales; Solanaceae.